This is a long non-coding RNA of Oncorhynchus tshawytscha (Chinook salmon), 477 nucleotides long. The record is from Ensembl. NCBI's taxonomy places the organism in Eukaryota, Metazoa, Chordata, Actinopteri, Salmoniformes, Salmonidae.
CUGCCUGACUGGCCCCUGGAACAGGAGGUUCUAUCUUCCUGACUGGUCCCUGGAACAGGAGGGUCUAUCUUCCUGACUGGUCCCUGGAACAGGAGGUUCUAUCUGCCUGACUGGCCCCUGGAACAGGAGGUUCUAUCUUCCUGACUGGCCCCUGGAACAGGAGGUUCUAUCUUCCUGACUGGCCCCUGGAACCGGAGGGUCUAUCUGCCUGACUGGCCCCUGGAACAGGAGGUUCUAUCUUCCUGACUGGUCCCUGGAACAGGAGGUUCUAUCUUCCUGACUGGUCCCUGGCAUUCCCAAGCAUUUUGCUACACUUACAUUAACACCUGUUAACCAUGUGUAUGUGACCGUACAGUUUGAUCUUCCUGUGGAUCUUCCUGCAGGGGAUGUUAUUAUCAAGGGUCUUAUUCUGGUAACAUGAUGAUCGAUGUUUGGUUGGCGUCUGACAAAUAAAUAUUAUCUUGGUCUUUUGUCCAA